Molecule: ribosomal RNA, 482 nt
Filed under: uncultured bacterium
Lineage: Bacteria
Description: partial 16S ribosomal RNA
Rfam family: Bacterial small subunit ribosomal RNA
Source: RNAcentral
UUGAACGCUGGCGGCAGGCCUCACACAUGCAAGUCGAGCGGAUGAAGGGAGCUUGCUCCUGGAUUCAGCGGCGGACGGGUGAGUAAUGCCUAGGAAUCUGCCUGGUAGUGGGGGAUAGCGUCCGGAAACGGGCGCUAAUACCGCAUACGUCCUGAGGGAGAAAGCGGGGGAUCUUCGGACCUCACGCUAUCAGAUGAGCCUAGGUCGGAUUAGCUAGUUGGUGGGGUAAAGGCCUACCAAGGCGACGAUCCGUAACUGGUCUGAGAGGAUGAUCAGUCACACUGGAACUGAGACACGGUCCAGACUCCUACGGGAGGCAGCAGUGGGGAAUAUUGGACAAUGGGCGAAAGCCUGAUCCAGCCAUGCCGCGUGUGUGAAGAAGGUCUUCGGAUUGUAAAGCACUUUAAGUUGGGAGGAAGGGCAGUAAGUUAAUACCUUGCUGUUUUGACGUUACCAACAGAAUAAGCACCGGCUAACUUCGU